UGAAUCUAUUAAUCACAACUUCACUAUUACCACUUAUCUUCUUCCAAUGUCAUGUUGUAUAAUUAAUGUAUGUAAUUAUUCUAAUUAUUCUUAGCAAUUUCCGUUUUUCGAAAAAACUGAUUAUACAUUUUUUUAAUGAUUAUUUAUUAAUUCCUGGAAAAAAAAUUAUAAAUCGCAAUUUAUAAAAAAGUCCAUAAAUUAAUCUCUUUUGCAACAUAGUUCUCCUCUUUAGUAACGACGCUCAAUUUUAUCAACAAGUUUGUAAAAACAGAAAUAUAAAAAAAAAAAAUCGUUGAACUAGGACGACAAAAAUAACAAAGCCGAAUCACGAGGAUUAAAUUCCAUUUUCAUGACUGUGCGCCUAAGCUAUUUAUCAACAGAGGAAAAACGAGGGAAUCGUGGGAGCAGAUGGUGGCGCCACUAUUAAUAAAAAUAAUACAUAACCUACGUGUCGCGAAACAACCUCGUGAUCGUCGUGAACGCGAAAAACAGUGGGGUAUUAACACCAGUUUAUGUAAACGGGAAAGAGACAAGAGAGUUUCGAAAAUAGUCGUUCGCGACCCACCACCGCGUACGCAUUUAGACGGCCGCGCUAAACUUAGAUUGUUUUCUGAACAAACGGGUUAAGAGGGGUCCCGGAGAAGUGUAUGACACGAUGGAAAAUGCUUGGAAAGAAACACGUUUAUACGGAGCGGCUCGAUUAACCGGAGGAGGAACACGUGUCUUGGAUGGAGAGCUCGUGAGAGGGCAUGAGCAUUGAAAGCGAACAAAUGGAAGGUGUUUCUCGGAAGCUUGGAUACUUAACGGAGAAAACCGUAGUGUUGCACUACUUGGUGACAUUUUAGCUGGUAUAAAACGAGAUCGUAAUGUUUCAAGAGAAUUGAAAAAAAGGAAAGGAAAAAAAAGUAAAUCAGAUAUCAUACCAGAUAUUAUGGAUAUGGAUAGAUGAGACGACUUGAUUUGACUCCAUUAUGGAUAAUUUUGAGAAUAAUGCCUUGAAAUUGAAGAGUCUUGAUGGAGGUAGAUUCAAAGUGGAGGAAAUUUUGUUUGAAAUGAUUUAGAAAAAAGAAAAGUUAUUGGAAUAAUUUAUGCAUGAAAUUGAUAUUGAUAAUUGCAAGAUUAAAAAAUUUCACUUAGAAAUGAUCUUGAGAUCUCCUUUCAAAAUUGAAGAUCAAUGGAUCUUAUAAUAAUCACAAAAAGGUCUCAAAAUUAGAGGAAUCAUGAGAUCAAUGGAUCUUAUAAAAAAUGAUUCUAAGAUUGAAGAAUUCUCUAAGAUAACCUGAAAAAAUAAAUCUAUUUGGAUCUAAAAAUGGUUCCAAGUUGGAGGGAUUCUUGUUAGAUGAUAUGAAUGCUAUAAAGAAUUGAACACAAAAUUAACACAUUCCUGUUCAGAUGAUCUUUAAAUUUAUGAAUUGUUAUUGAUUCUAGAAUCGAGAAUCUCGACUGAAAUGAAUCUAACAAUAAGGAUUUCUAUAAAUUAUUAUAUAUUAUUAUCAGUAUUAUUAAUUCAUUGAUAAUGGACCAUAUGGACAGUUAUGGAGGAAGAUAUAUUUCUGAAAAAUCCCUAUUAUGGCUCUUAUCCAUUAAACGCAAGUGAGGUAUCUAAUAACGAGGUCCUAAAUGCAAUUACUGUUGAAACAAACAUAUUGGAUUUCUCUCCAUUAAACCAAAUUCAAGAAUUGACGAGAUUAAAAAUGUGUCAAUUAACAAAGCACUGAAUUGAAAAUUUCUUAAUUAUUGAUUUUAUAAGAAUUCAUUAUUUUUUUUUUUGAUACUUCUAACAUUUCUAUUAUUUUUUCUAGAUAAACAAUUUUGAUUAAUUUCCUGAAUCAUGAUACAUAUAUAUUUAAAAUUGUUCUAUCUUUUAGUUAUUUUUCUGAUUUUUAAGUCAAGUAGAUACAAAAUUUGAUUUAACAACACGUUUCAUAAUUGUAAAUUUAUAGUUUUAACGAAUAUUAAACACUGUAUUAGGAAUAUAAUUAUUGCAUCAGAAAUGUUCUUAUUAGAUAUAACUAUUCAGAUAUCACGUUGAUCAACGUCUUACAAUAUAGUGACAUAGUUAAACGCUGUGUAACGGUAUUUAUAUGUAUUAGAUCUUGUACCGCCUGAGGAUAUUAGUAUUGAGUUUCACAAAGUUAGUUAGUGCGUCGUUACCAAGUUUCUCGUGUUUGUGCAUUUAUAUUAAUAUUAUCUGAUUAUUAUGCCUAUUCCUUGCACGCUAUAUAAAUUAUACGUGUCACAUAUUAUAUCAAUAUUGUUUAUCUCACUGAACUGAAGAUAUAUAGGAUGAUGGAGAGAACUGAGGAAAGAUGUGUGACAAUAAUGAUAAUUUUUUUUUUUUCUAAAAAUUUAAACAGUUUUUUUAAACGGAAUACACGUUAGAAAAACUUAAUUGAUCGAGCAGUUUCAAAUGUGUUACUAAUUACCACUAUUUACAUGAUAAUUAAGCUCGCGCUAAUAGAAGAGAAAUACGAUAAUCGAUCGUUCCACACUGUCAACUGUGAUAUUAUGAGGAAAUAAAAUAUUUCUUGGAACGAAAUGAAACAAGUAUCAAGUGUUUAUAACGUUUUGAAAAAAUAUUUUGUUCGUGUAAAAGGAAAGGAAUCGAGACCUUUUAGAAACAGUUAAAUUAUAAUUCUAUUUUCAAAGGUAAUGCAAAUUCAUUCUUAACAGUGCUCCGUGUAAAAUAAUAUUUUUAAACAAAUGAUCCAUUUUUCCAUCUCGAAAUUGAUGAUAUUCCUUUAUCUUUCGAGGAAGCAAAUUUUCUUCGGUAACCUAAAGUAAUUGUUAAAUAUUCAAUUAUUAAAAAGAAUAUAUAUCUCUUUGCAUCAAUUUUCUCUUCAUCAAUUUCAAUAUUUUAAGGACUCACCUUGCUCGUCACCUAUUUAAGGUAAUAUAUCCAUGUGCUCAUAUUACGGAUCACUUGCUACGGAUGAUCAGCUGAUCAAUUAAAAUCUGUGGUUGACGACCAAUGAUCCGUGAUACGAGCAUAGAUACCUUAAAUAGACGACAACCGAUAACAUAUCUGAUGAACUCUGCAACUCCAGAUGCACAGCAUACGUUAAAACGUUGUUAAUUCAAGGAGAAAUUAUAAAUAAUAUGUUUUAAUAUGAACUGACUUUGCAUCAAGUUUUUUUUUUAAUUUAAUUGUGAUUAUAUUGUUCCAACAUUACAUUGGAAUACCUAAUUUGUUAUUUUCACAGAAUAAUACUGGAUGGUAUAUUGGUAGAUAUUUUUGGUUGCUUCAACAAAUCCAGAAAUUGUGUGCAACACAACAAAACAAUACACAAUGAUAUUUUAUCUAUUCGUUCAGAAAAUAAUGAGUAUAUUCUCAUUUAAAUGUAUGCCAAGAACAUCUGCAAAUUCUAAUAAACAUUAUUUUAACACAUCAUGACAUCCCAAUUACGUGUUUUCAUGAAUUUAAUUUUCAUCACUUGAAAACAAUAAUUGCAAAAAAUAUAUACAUUUAACAUUUAUUCAUUUUUUCUCAAAUUAAUAUUUCCAAUUAUUCAGCAUAGAAAUUUCAAUGGAAAAGAAAUAACGAUGAAAUAAUCCAAUGUUUUAAAUAUAUAUUAGAGUAUCAUCGAGACAAAUAUUUCCAUAAAUAUUUCACAACAAUGCUCUAACGGGUAUCAUUAUCGAUAAAUCUACGACAACCAAACUGUGCAGAAAAACCAAUGAAUGAUGGAUUUCUUCGAUAAAUUUAAAGAAAAGCAAUAGAAGACCAAAUAUUAAGGAGAGGUAGGAGGAUAGAAGGAAGAAGAAAAAGAAGAAGUAAAUAUAUAUAUAUAUAUAUAUAAGAGAAAAGUAGCGAUGCUGGUCUCGUUAAGACGCUUCAAGAUGGUACUUCCUCCAUUUCCUCCUCAUGAUUCGCUAUCAAAGCCGCCAUCUUGAAAGCACUUUAAAUCAAUUUAUUAGCUCCGUUUUUAAUCACCCUCCCCGUUUCGAACUGUCCACGAUGAGGAGGAGAAGACACUAGGGAAGAGGUGAAAAAGGACGAACGAAAGAAAUUACUGACGAGUCGAUCGUGGAAAUAUUUUUCCUCCAAUGGCGCUUCGCCUUCAUCAUCCCUUGCAUCUUGAUUAAACAAUCCUACGGCAUUCCACCAUGCUUGUUCCUCUCGAAAUUACCCUCUCAGAUUAUAUUCCAACUAUUCACGUUAUUUCGACGACAACCAGCCUCGCCAAUCAACCGAUUCUUAAAGAGGAAUGGAAAUAUGGGGAACCUGCUUUGGAUAAUGAUUAAUGUGCGAAUUCCACUCCACAUAAGUGGGAUUAUGUAUAAGAAGAUGAAGAUUGUGAUUGAUUUGUCAUUUUAAAUUAUUAAAGGGGGAUUAAAGGAUACAAUCUUUUUUCAACUAUUGAAAUGAAUUUUUGAAGGGGAUGUGGAAAUGUUCAGCUCUCCUUUGAAUGAUUAAUGAGAAUUCCUUUACAUUCUAUAAGUGAGAUUUAUCAGAGAGAAGAUAAAGAUUCUGAUUGAUUUGUUAUUUUAAAUUAUUAAAUGAGGAUUAAAGGAUACAAUGUUUUUGAACUAUUGAAAUGAAUUUUUGAAGGGAGAUGUGUAAAUGUUCAGCUCUCCUUUGAAUGAUUAAUGAGAAUUCCUUUACAAUCUAUAAGUGAACUUAUCAGAGAAGAUGAAGAUUCUAAUUGAUUUGUCAUUUUAAAUUAUUAAAUGGGAUAUUAUUAGAGGAUAUAAAAUUAUUAAAGGAUACAAUGUUUUUGAACUAUUGAAAUGAAUUUUUGAAGGGAGAUGUUCACCUUUGGAUGAUUAAUGAAAAUUCUUCCACUCAAACAUAAGUAGGACUUAUCAGAGAAGAUGAAGAUUCUGAUUGAUUUGUUAUUUUAAAUUAUUAAAUGGGAUAUUAUUAAAGGAUAUAAUAUUUUUAAACUAUUGAAAUGAAUUUUUGAAGGGGAUGUGGAAAUGUUCAACUCUCCUUUGAAUGAUUAAUGAGAAUUCUUUUACAAUCUAUAAGUGAACUUAUCAGAGAAGAUGAAAAUUCUGAUUGAUUUGUCAUUUUAAAUUAUAAAAUGGGGAUUAAAGGAUACAAUGUUUUUGAACUAUUGAAAUGAAUUUUUGAAGAGGAUGUGAAAAUAUUCAGCUCUCCUUUGAAUGAUUAAUGAUUAAUGAGAAUUCCUCUACAUCCUAUAAAUGGGAUUUAUCAGAGAAGAUAAAGAUUCUGAUUGAUUUGUUAUUUUAAAUUAUUAUAUUAAAAUAUUAUGGGGAUUAAAGGAUACAAUGUUUUUCAACUAUUGAAAUGAAUUUUUGAAGAGGGAUGUGGAAAUGUUCAACUCUUUAGCUUUGGAUAAUUAAUGCAAAUUUCUCGACAGUUCAUGAAUCUAUUGAAAGGAUGGAGAUUGUGAUUGAUUAAAAUUAUUUAUCACUUUAAAUUAGCAUCUGGGAAUCAAUAUUUUAUGAACUAUUGAAAUGAAUUCUUAAAGGUAGAAUAAAAUAUUUAUCCAAAAAUUUGAAUAAUUAGUGCAAAUUUUUGAAAACUUUAUAAAUAGAAUUCAUGUAAAGAUAUGAUUGAUUAAAAUUUUUCAUUUUGAAUUAAUAACUAGGAAUGAAAAACUAGGAAUUUUGAAAUAUUAAAAUGAAUUCUUAAAGAAGAUGGAAACUUUGCUUUUAUGGAAUAUUUUAUUUUUAAUAAUUGAGAAUAAAAAUUACCAUUAUCUAGAAUCAUUAUUUAGAACGCACAAAAAUUUUUCUAUUUAGGUACAAUAAAUAAAAUUUUUUUUAAAUUUUAUUUCUAUAUUUAUCUUUUUACUAUAUUUAUCUUUUUUUAUUCCAAAUAUUUUUUCUUAUUAUCGUAAUAUUUUCUAAGGAUAGAAUUUUCCCUUAAAAUUUUCUACUGCAUUUUCACUUUAUUUAUUUUCCCCUUAUUCCAUUGUAUUUUCUAAGGAUAGAACAUUUCCUUUGUAUUUCACUAAGGAAUAAAAUUCCAAUAGAAUAUUAUUAUAUCCUGAUGUUUUUUCGAGAAGAAGAAAUAUGUUAUCGUGAAUAUAUAUAUUGAUUAGACUCUUGAUUCCAUAGAUUUGAAAAAUAAAGUAUUUAUUCUACAUUUUAUUUACAAUAUAUUCAUACGAAAAAACUGUGGGAAUAUUUAAAUAAUAGAAUCCUAGAAUAAGAAUACAUAAUAAACGUGUGAAGAAAAGAUCAAAUAUAAUGGGGAUUCUUCUGAAAUAAUAAUAAUCUCAUCUUUAAGAAUCGAGAUUCGUAAAGUACAUGGAGGAAACUUUUUUUUUUGCAUUAUCCAAUCAUUUCAAUAUUUGGUUCUAACCGAAAUAACAAUGACUCCUCUUUUGAGAAAAUGAAAAACUUUCUCCUCGAAUCGACUUCAUAUUAACAACUUUAUAUGCACGAAACUUUGUUCACACCAUCUUAUUGUAAGAGUAACUCCUAAAUAUAUAUCACAUAUUUUUUAAUAUUAAUUUUUAUUUUCUAAUUUUAUACAAUUGAGACAAUUUGUUCAAGAUGAUUGAAUAAAUUUUAUGAAAACUUCAUCUCCAAGUUGAAGAGCUUUUAUACAUAAGAAACAGAAAAGUAUCAUUUUAUAAAAAAUAAUUUACCAAUAAUUUACAUAAUAAAAUCUUUUUCUCAAUUAUCAUCUGAAGAUUAGAAAUCCUAAUCAUAAAAUUUUUUGAAAAUAUAUUUUCUCCAAUCGCAGAAGAAAAAAAUGGUAAUCUCUUAAAAUUAUUUCUACAAAACAUUUUGUGCAACUUUUUGUGCGACUGGCUAAUCUAAUUUGCAUGGUCGAUUAAUAUGCAAUUCCUCUCUUUACCUCUCGAAAAGGGGUCUGAAAACGAUGUUGCACCGUGACAAGCUAAGGCAAUUGCGUUCCAUCAAUAAGUUUAGUCAACGAUCGGAGAAACGCACCGAAUCCCUUUGAUCUUGCAAUGACAAACGAACCUGUCCUGCCAACAAACAUUCCCCAGAUUUCAUCCCGCGAACCUCCUGAGACCACGUGAACAAUAAACAGACUGCGAUCCAUCCACAUCAGAGGUUCGAUCAAUUAAAGCCUGGAAAAUUAAUUCACCGCGAAUACGAAAUUUGUAUCAAUCGUAUCAAUCGAGCAAUUUCUUCGUUUCCAAUCAAAUCCAUAUCUUGGUUUAUCGUUAAUUCACAAUUUUCUACAUCGCACAAAAUUAUCACUUCAACUUUAGUUUUAAAAAAUAUUGUAUUUUUUUUCUACAAUAUUUAAACAAUCUUCUUUGUAUUUACAAUUUAUAUUCAAAUAAUUGUUUUGCAAUUUUUAAAUAAUACAUAAAGGAGAGUUUAAAAGAAAUUGUUCAGUAAAAAUUGUGAGUUUUAUAUUCUAUGAUAAUUUUUUUAAUUGCAAAAAUAUAGGAAAUUGUCUCUUUGAACAAAUUAUUACACUUUUUGUGAAUAACGUUUAUGACGUUUAAUUGGCAAAUUAAAAUUUUGUGAAUUAGUUGAUGGACUGUUAAUCACUUGAUUCUAAUUGUCCACAGUUAAAUUACAAGUUCGUUUCUUAACGCGGAUUCGUGCAUUAAGGGAAAAAGAGUUGCAGAGACGCGGCGCAAAGGUCAGGAAAGCAAUUCGAGAGUUCCAUUCACGAUAAAAUGAAACUGUAUUCGACGUGCCUUUUUUAAAGAGAUCUCAAUUUCAGUAACGAACGUUACUUAUUAUUCCAUUGUGGUAAGAUUCCAUUAGCCUUUUCCGAAUCAAAUUUUUUCGAGCAGAGUUUUGAUUUAACCUCGUUAAAUUAUAUUUUCCUUCUUACAAAAAUAAUAUUUUCACGACCGAAUGAUUUCUUCGUCGAAAUUUCCCUCUUUAAAUAUAUAUUCGAUUAAAAAUUUCUGUUAAAUUUUUUUCUCUUCGAUCCGACUUUUUCCUCUACAAAAAGAAGCUAUUAAUUAAUAUAAAAGGAACGAUUUCUGGAAACAACGAAAGAGUCAAUUUAAAGUUAACAGUAAAAAAAAAAAGAGUCAAUAAGAAAAGAAACGAGAAUCUCAGUCUUCCGUGUCUAUGGCUCCCUUAUUCAGACAUGGUUUCGACCGAAAAUUCUAUUUAGAUAAACCUGACAAGUAUUACGUAGGCUUUACUCGCUCACUCUUUCGGAUCAAACUUCCUCCUGCGAGCUGUGGAAAUCGAUAAAAGGGGGGGAUGGAACAACGACACUGUUUCGUCUGCACGGCGGGCAUCGUUCUUUUUCUUUUUUUCUAAAUCUACGACAAAGAAAAUGGAACAGCGGCGAGAUAGAGAUUUCUUUAACAGCCUGGCCGCGAUAAAACGGGACAAAAGAGGGACGAGUUGUAACCGAGAGUGUUAUAUAUAUAUAUUUCUCUGUCUUGUUUUUCAUCUGUUACCCGGAAACGCUCUUUCGAGAUUGCGUAUGCAAUUUCGUGAGUAAUUUAGCGUAGAUUCUCUUGAGAGUGAUGGUUUAAUUAUUAUAGGAGAGAGAGAGAAGGAAAGAGAAAGUUUUUAUUAUUCAUUUCGUUCUAUUUUUAUUUUAUUUCUUGUUUCGAAUAAUAAUAAUAGGCGUCGCCGAUUCGCUCGGUAAUUGGCGGAUCAUUACUUAGCCGCGAUCAACUAAUGAUUGGCCAGUAAAUGGUCAAUCAGUGGCCAAGGUAAUGGUCAAUCAGAGAUCAAUAGUUAACCAAUUAAUGGGCAGAUUAAUGGUAAGAUUUAGUGAAUAGAAAUUAAUAUGUAAAACAUCUCUAGUUCUAAUAGAAUUAUUUGAUUCUUAAAUUAAUUCGAGAAUUGGAUUAAAAUUGGAAGAAAUUAAACGAUUGGAUUAUUAAAAAAUAUUAGAUAAUCGAUGUCACGGAAACGAUAUUGGAAAAUCAUUACGAAAUUUUUAAAGCAUGUUUAAAAUAAUUGCACUACGUAUUUGCGAUAUAUUAAUCUAUGCAUUGUAUUCGUUGAACCGCAUCACAUUUUCAUUUAUACAUCUCGGCUCUCGCAAAAUUUGCCUAAUGGAAAACCAUUCGAAUGUAAGAGCGAUGUGGAAAAAAAAAAACCUGUGCAGCAAGGUUCCGCCAAAUUCAAAACCAAAGCUUUUAUAUUAAUUAAAUGCAUAUAUAAUAUCCAGGAAUAAUAAUAAAAAAAAAAGGAAUAUAAAAAUUCAUUUUUUACAUGCGUGAUAUGCAUAGUGGAUUAAACGUUUUUUUUAAUAUUUUUGAAUUUUAACAAUUUAUAACGAAAAAGAAGGAGGGAGGGGAAAAAAUAAAAUUUUAUAAAUACGUCCAUGAAAGUUUUAUUUCUUUUUUCUUCUUCUUCUUCUUUUCUUUUCCUUUUCUUUUACGCAAACUAAUAAUGAACGUGUUUUUACAUAUCGCCUGUAUAUUUGCGCCCCAAUUAGUUUAAAGGGGGGCAAGGUUACGAAAUAUUCUCGAAAUGCCGAAUAAUUUACGAUCAGAUGAUGAGAAUGAAAAUCUACGAGAACAAGUGGAUUACAGAAUUAGAUCAGAAACGAUACAGAAAUUGUAUCCAUGCGUCACACGCGCUAAUAAAAAUGAAAAUAAGAAAAAAAUAUCCCUGAUUUUUUCAGGUCAAUUCGAAAAAAUAAAUAUUACGUUGAAUCUUUGUCCGACAGGCGAUCAAGUAUAUUUAUUAUGUUAAUUUAUAGCAUUCCUGGAUUUAUUUCGUCUUUUAAAUAACAUUUCAUUUGUCCCUCCCUCCCCCCUCUUAAUUGUGUAAUAUGAUUAUAAAUUCAUAAAAGAUUAAAAAAAAAAUUAAUACACGAGAAAUUUAUAUUUUCAAUAAUUUUUUCCCUCCUUUCUCGCGAUAAUUAUGCAAAUUGAUUGAUUAUAACUCUAAAUUGUUUCGAGUUUAAUUUUUUUUAUCGCGCAAUAUCGAAAAAUUAGUUUUAUCCUCGUUUUAAGUGAUAUUAUGAAGUUUUGUUUAAAAUAAAAGCGAAUAAUGGAUUCGAUCAAUUUUUAUUGUAUAUCCAGUUAAAAAAAAAAAUAUGUUUGAAAAAUUCAUGGAAAAACUACUCUCUGAUUAUUUAUCUUUAAUGUACAACAAUACUGAAUAUUGUUGAAAAAUUGAGUAUCGUUAAAUAUCAUUCGACAUUCCACUUUUUUUAUUACAAAAAUAUGCUAUUAAAAAAAAUAAUUGAUUUGCACAAACUGUUAAUUAAAUUCUUCUGACAAAUGUCCCGGUUAAUGGAACAACCUGCAUAAGUUGUAUAAAUAGAAAAAUACAAGGAAGUAUUUAUCGAUCGAUAUAAUGAAAAAUAAAGGGGGCAGAAGAACGUGUGAACGAACUACAAAGGAACUACACGAUUAUCAUAUACUUCAUCCGUUUAAACAAAGAAUCUUCCAGUCUAUCUAAUUUUUAUUUAAAAAAAAAAAAUUCUAAUAUUUCAAUUCUAUGAUUCUAAUAGAAUUUUUAAUAUUUAAUUCCAUCAAAUAUUUUAUAAACAAAAAAAAAACUCUAAUUUUCCCAUUUAAUUUCAUUAAAAUUGAAAUUAAUAAAAAAAGAUGAACGUUCGAAACUAAAAAUGCACGAUAGGAGAAGAGAAAAAUUAUUAAAAAUUAUUAAAAAUAAAUUAUCAUUAUAAGUUUAAUUAGUUUGUCAUAUUUUUGCAAUUACGAUUUUCGUAUGAUAAUUAUUUCAUUUUAAAAUCGAUUAAGUUUAGAGAGAAAAAAAAUGUUAUAUUCACUUAAAUAAUUUUUAAUCGAUUACACCUACAGUGACAAAAUGUCAACCGUGAACAACAAUCACCGUGAAAUAAUUCGUUUAUAGCAACCCUUCGAUAUGACCCAUCGUUCAAAGAACGAACGCGUAUUUUGCUCGACAGUGCGUAAUCAACUUUUUUGUAAACUCUUAAAAACGCAUUUACGCUUACGAUAUAUCCUGGAUGCAUUUUUGCGCAAAUUAUUCUACGUUUCAAAUUUUUUUUUCCAUUUUUGUGACACGUGAUCUUUUUCUAACGAAGAAAUUAAAAUAUUUUCUUCAGUGAAUUAUUAAAAUUAUUUAAUCAUUUAGCAUGAUUGUGUUUUAAUUUGUAAUAAAAUUAAUUACAAUUAUUUUUCGGACGAUGAUAUUUCUAUAAUUCUAAUUUCUGUCCAAAUUUCUAAAAUUGAAUAAAUAAAUUUAAUUUCAAUAACGAUAUGAAAUAUUCGAGAAAUGAAAAUAUAUAUAUAUAAAAAGAAAAUUCAAUACAUUAAUCAGAAAUACAAAAUUAGACGUUUUAAUUACCUUGCUUAUUGCCAUUGUAGUGUUUAAUUGUUCAAACAAACUUAUCAUUUUAAUAAUUGAAAUGCUUGAAAUGUUUAAAUAUGAAUUCCAUGAAAAUGAAGAAAGCUAUUCCAUAGGUAAAUAUUCGUCCAUAUUUUCGAUCAGAGCAAAAGAAGAAAUGUAACUCAUUUGCAAGUGGAAUUAAUUCCAUUUUAUAAUAACCUACAAUGACCGUGCUCAUUUCAUUUUAAUAUUCAUGGAUAGACUUAUCUGAUUACCGGGUCAUUUGAUAAAACUUUAAAUCCUAUUAUUUCCUAUCAUCUACCAUUGUCAUGGUUUCAUCUACUUGAAUGAUAAUAAAAGACAAAUCAUUCUUUAAAAUGCAGGAAUAUAAUUCAAUAAAAUAUAUUUUAUUCUCGAUUUAUAUCGAAAAUUAUAAAUUUUUGUACGAAAAAACAAAUACAUUAUACAUUAUUAAUGUUAAUAAAAAAGAAUUAACGAACGAAUAAUGAUAAAUAACUUUUCCAUUUGAAUCAAGUUCAUUCACUAUGUUUAUUUUCCAUUGAAAUACAUUGUUGAAUUGUAUUAUUAUACAUGUAAAUAUUCUUCAUUUAAGUCAAUUUUCAUAUCAUAUUUAUUACAUUUUUCCCUAUAUAAUUAUCGUAAUUUUGUAGUUAAAUUAAUUUCGAAAAGAAGAUGAGAAUCAUUUGCACAUGUAUUCAGGUCAAUCAUAAAAUAACUCACUGUACGUUUUACUCACGAAUUACGUCAAAUUUAAAAAUAUAUAAUUUAUUAUACGAGAUACACGCAGUUUAAAUUUUCCUGUUCCGUAAAAUACAUCAAACCGGUAGUCAAGCGUUAAAAAAUCAACGAAAUCGAAAAAAACAAAAAAAUCAUCGUUAAAACUUUCGAAAAAAAAAAUAUACAGCCUCGAUGUAUCGCACGACAAUAUAUCGCCUACGUAUCAAAUAUCAGCCGGAAAGAGGAAUCGAGUGGAUUUAUCCGGCAAAUGCAUUCUGCAUACAUUGAAACUAUGUAAUCGAGGCAAUCGAAGACGUUCAUCGAACCCGGAGGCAUUGUCGCGCACGCGAAUCGAAAUACAUAUGUACUAUUCGUAUCCACAAAUGAGUAUAUCUACGUGUGUAUGUGUGAAGUGUGCAUCAACACAACGCUGCCAAAACACAACUUUCCCCUAGUUUCAAAUCGCACUAGAAUAGAAAAAGAGAUUUCGAGUGGCGGCGGCCGCGCGUCUUUUUGGUCGAGGAACGUGACACGUUCGUGCGUGCUCGUGCGUAUUCGUACUGCGACUCACCGGGUAGUAGGGAGAGGACUCGUCGUGUAGGACCACCCAGCGACGAGCGUCGCGUCGGCCCCCAAAAGACAAGCACGUGGAGUACGGUAUCAUGGUGACGGCGGCGACAAGAAGGGGGCGUACGAUCCGCUCGAACCUUGUCACCGAGGACGUCGCUACUAAUUGUCGUCCGCGUCGUGGCCGCCGUCGUCUACGCGUUUUUUAUCAAAUUUCUGGCGUACACGUUUGACGUUUUAGCGGCGUUUGAUAACGCGUCUCGCGCCGCACCACGAACAACCGAACGGGUUAGCGAAACCCACGAUGGAAAACAACAAGAGGCGACCGGCUAGCCAAGGACCACGAGACUCGAGUGUAGCUAGGGAAUCACGACAGCUGAUUGGUCGAUGAGAGUACCACCGCCGUCUGCCGACCAUUGCGCGCAACCGCGUCCGAGAGAUCAAUGAGACUCGAAGCGAAGAAGACACUCGCCUAGAAGUAGCCGAACGUUCACGAGAGUGUGCGAGGUUCACCGAAGAUUGCACUGCUUGAGAAUCGGGUCGCGCUGCCGCAUAUAGUCGAUACGGAGUGACGUUUAGGUUUGACAAUUUUCUUUCUUGAUGAUUUUCUUCUUAUUUUGUAACGUAUAAUGUACGUAACGUAUGCAAGAGAAACUCUUAAUAAUUCAUUAAUGAAGAUAACGUAACGAAUUGGUAUAAUCGUUGAUUAUGUCAUUUUCCGCUUAAUGAUAGGAGAUAUUUGAUUCGAAUUGGUUGAUGAACGUUUAACGAGUACAGUUAAUCGACCGAUAAAUGACAAGAAACGGACAAAAGCAAACCUACGUAUUCACAAGCCAGUUUGGGAUACACUAUAUUAUUGUUUCCUUCUUAGAACUAAAUCGAGUUUACUAUAAUGAUUGCAUUUAUGAAGCUGACUUUAGUAAACGUCACGCAGAAAUGUACGUGCAGGUGCCAAGGAGCUGGUUUAAAUUUAGCAAUAUCGCGUGCAACCAAUACAUUUUCACAGGAUUAAUUGAUUUAACCUGAGGAAAGAAUCAUCCAUGCGUUAUCAGUAAAAUAUCAAACGCACGUUUAUAAAUAUUAAACAUGUCAUUUGAAUUCUUUGCAGAUGAUAUGUUAAUUUUUAUAUAGAAAAAUAUAUUCGUAAGUGAAUUUCAAUCUUAAUUUCUUUUUUUAAAUUAAUUAUUUUUAUCGUUAUUCAAUUUCUUUUAUAUGCUUUGCUUUUCAAUCUACCAAAAAAUCUAGUCAUUCAAUCAUCGCUAUCAGAUAAGAUUUCAAAGGAUGAAGAAUCCUCUUUGUGCAAAUGAAAUCGAAGAUUUGUACCGUGCUUUAUCUUUAUCCGCACUAUUGUUUCAAUACAACUAACAAUAUGGAUAGCACAAUGCUUUACUAAAUCUCGAAACGAUAAUAGUAAUUGUUUGCCAAUUAUUAAUUACAAUACAAAUUUAAUAACGCAAGAAAUUUUUAAUAAUAAAAAAUUUGAAUUGACAUACCCUUAUACUUUAAUAAUAUUAUUUGAAACAAAAGAUUUAUUUCCUGACUGUCGUGAAUCAUCAAUGAUUCAUAAAAUACUUUUAAUCCGCUUCUUUUAAUAAAAUCGCAAUCUUUUUUUAUUGAUAAAUUGUAACUGAAAUUUCAGCAAUGAAAAAUUAAUACGAUAUAAAAAAAGUUAAAGGAUUCGUGAUUCUCAGGAUCUCCCAAGGACAAUUACGCAUUGAAUGACACAGUCCGCGUUACGUCAUUGAUAAGAUGUCGCACAUGUUUCGUGACACGAAUACGUAUGACGAAACAUCGUGGGAGCAAAAGCGUCAAACGAUAAGAAGAAAAAAAGUAGCUGGAAAGGAGAUCGUAAAAUAUAAAAAAUAUAAAGAAAAUUCUUUCUCUCCUUUCGGAAUAAAAAAUGGAAUAAAAAAAUGAAACAGAAUAUCGGAAAGUAUCGAAGCGAAAUACAUCGAUGAAAAAAAAGAAAGAAAGAAAAAAAAAGAUAAUACGAAAAAGAAAAUAUACAAAUUUUUAUUAUAAUAUGUAAUUUUAAACAUUCGCAUGAAAAAAUUAAAAUAAAUUAAAGAGAAUGCAUAAACAAAAGGUGAAGGAAAAAAAAGAUGAAAAUAGAUAAAAAAAAUGAAUGAUAAAGGGACAAUUAAAAAGCAAAAGAAAAAGAUAACGAAAAAAAACGAAAAGAAUACAAGUGAAGAAAAAAAGAAGAUUAAAAAAAGAAGAGAGAUAAAGGAAGAAAAGCAACUAAAACGGAGAGAAAAAAUUAACAACAGGAUAAAAGAGAAACAAAAUACCGCACAAAUAUAAAAUAAAAAGAAAAAAAGCAUUAAAAAAACUAAGAUUAAUGAAGAAGAUAAUUGCUAGGAAAAAGAGAGAAAGAAAGAGAGAGAAAAAUUGGAAAGAGAUAGGAAAGAGAAAAAGAGAAGAAAGUGAAUGAAAAGGAUAGAUAGAGAGAAGGAAGGAAUGAAUUUCAUCAUUUAAUUUUAGAACGAUCGCGUGUAGCCGAUGGCUGCCGCAGGGGCAUGUCAUGGCCCAGGGAGUCGGUUGCAAUAUCGAUCCUAACUUCACGCACCUGAAGCGCACCUUCUCCCGUGUGAAAGGAGAACUUGUCGCUGUUCCUGUUAUUCCAUCUUUUCUCCCUUCGAUUAUUCUUAUUCUCAUAUUUCAUUAUUUUCUUUUUUUUAAUGAUCACCAACAACUCUACCAUCAAUUAUUGAAACAUGUGGAAAAAUGUGCAAUCAUUUUAUAGAUAUAUUAUUUUGUAUUAUCUGAUUCGAAGAUCUUUUAUUAUUUGACUGUAUAGUUUCGAGUAUCGUUGCUUUUCGCUCCUAUUUGCAAUGACCAUUAAGUUCGAGAGCCACUCCUAUUCGCAGCAUCCCUAUUGGGAAAUUUUGUAUGGUAUAGUGUCCCGAGAGGUAUGCAUACUACUCGCGAUGAUCGAAAAUUUUUAUUGAACGUAAAAGGAGCUUUUAAAUAAUAAAAAAAAAAACACUUUUUUAGCUUUAUUGAUAUUAUUCAGUAUUGGAUUCAUUUGUAACGAUAUAGUUGUUUUAUAUAGUUGACUAAUUAAAUUAUUACUAGAUUUUUAGAAUACCACGUAAUUCAAGAAAAAUGGAUUUGUUCAUUUCUAAAAAAUUUUUUAUAAAAAAUUUAGUGCACUAUUAAGAAUUAAAUUUUUGGCAAUAUGUAUGUCUAAGUAUGUCUAAAUGUUAGAUCGGUCAAUGGUAAUUGAAUAAUUCAUCAAUUUAAAUUCUCAAUCCAAAAAAUAAAAUUCAAUAUAAUUUAUUCAUCUGUAAGCAAGAUUUACCAGACAGAUCAUCUGACAUCAAGGAUUUUCCUUGCUUCGAUCAAUCUCUCAAUAAAUUUAUGAAUUGACUUUUACGAAUAGAAUUCUAAUUUGGGAAUGUAUUAUAAAGAAAGAGAAUUUGUUCAAAAAAGAAGACGAAAAGUAAUAAAAAAACUAUUUCUACUGAUAA
This is a long non-coding RNA of Apis cerana (Asiatic honeybee), 15926 nucleotides long. RefSeq lists it as uncharacterized. NCBI's taxonomy places the organism in Eukaryota, Metazoa, Arthropoda, Insecta, Hymenoptera, Apidae. The record is from RefSeq and is a predicted model, not a curated record.